RNAcentral lists this ribosomal RNA (369 nucleotides) under uncultured Glomeromycotina. Its description in RNAcentral is "SSU rRNA". It matches the Rfam family "Eukaryotic small subunit ribosomal RNA", at positions 569 to 944 of the family's 1831-position model. Lineage: Eukaryota; Fungi; Glomeromycota. The record is from RNAcentral.
AGCAGCCGCGGUAAUUCCAGCUCCAAUAGCGUAUAUUAAAGUUGUUGCAGUUAAAAAGCUCGUAGUUGAAUUUCGGGAUCAAUAUUUCGGUCAUGCCGUUGGUAUGCACUGUUAUCAUUGAUUUCUCACCUUCUAAAGAACCGUAAUGCCAUUAAUUUGGUGUUACGGGGAAUUAGGACUGUUACCUUGAAAAAUUAGAGUGUUUAAAGCAGGCUCGCGCUUGAAUACAUUAGCAUGGAAUAAUGAAAUAGGACGUUGAUCCUAUUUGUUGGUUUCUAGGAUUGACGUAAUGAUUAAUAGGGAUAGUUGGGGCAUUAGUAUCUUAAUGUCAGAGGUGAAAUUCUUGGAUUUAUUUGAAGACUAACUACU